UGGUAAACGAUGUGGGAAGGCUUAGACAGCUAGGAGGUUGGCUUAGAAGCAGCCAUCCUUUAAAGAAAGCGUAAUAGCUCACUAGUCGAGUCGGCCUGCGCGGAAGAUGUAACGGGGCUCAAACCACACACCGAAGCUGCGGGUGUCACGUAAGUGACGCGGUAGAGGAGCGUUCUGUAAGCCUGUGAAGGUGAGUUGAGAAGCUUGCUGGAGGUAUCAGAAGUGCGAAUGCUGACAUGAGUAACGACAAUGGGUGUGAAAAACACCCACGCCGAAAGACCAAGGGUUCCUGCGCAACGUUAAUCGACGCAGGGUUAGUCGGUUCCUAAGGCGAGGCUGAAAAGCGUAGUCGAUGGGAAACAGGUUAAUAUUCCUGUACUUCUGGUUACUGCGAUGGAGGGACGGAGAAGGCUAGGCCAGCUUGGCGUUGGUUGUCCAAGUUUAAGGUGGUAGGCUGAAAUCUUAGGUAAAUCCGGGGUUUCAAGGCCGAGAGCUGAUGACGAGUCGUCUUUUAGAUGACGAAGUGGUUGAUGCCAUGCUUCCAAGAAAAGCUUCUAAGCUUCAGGUAACCAGGAACCGUACCCCAAACCGACACAGGUGGUCGGGUAGAGAAUACCAAGGCGCUUGAGAGAACUCGGGUGAAGGAACUAGGCAAAAUGGCACCGUAACUUCGGGAGAAGGUGCGCCGGCUAGGGUGAAGGAUUUACUCCGUAAGCUCUGGCUGGUCGAAGAUACCAGGCCGCUGCGACUGUUUAUUAAAAACACAGCACUCUGCAAACACGAAAGUGGACGUAUAGGGUGUGACGCCUGCCCGGUGCCGGAAGGUUAAUUGAUGGGGUUAGCGCAAGCGAAGCUCUUGAUCGAAGCCCCGGUAAACGGCGGCCGUAACUAUAACGGUCCUAAGGUAGCGAAAUUCCUUGUCGGGUAAGUUCCGACCUGCACGAAUGGCGUAACGAUGGCGGCGCUGUCUCCACCCGAGACUCAGUGAAAUUGAAAUCGCUGUGAAGAUGCAGUGUAUCCGCGGCUAGACGGAAAGACCCCGUGAACCUUUACUGUAGCUUUGCACUGGACUUUGAGCCUGCUUGUGUAGGAUAGGUGGGAGGCUUUGAAGCGUGGACGCCAGUUCGCGUGGAGCCAUCCUUGAAAUACCACCCUGGCAUGCUUGAGGUUCUAACUCUGGUCCGUAAUCCGGAUCGAGGACAGUGUAUGGUGGGCAGUUUGACUGGGGCGGUCUCCUCCUAAAGAGUAACGGAGGAGUACGAAGGUGCGCUCAGACCGGUCGGAAAUCGGUCGCAGAGUAUAAAGGCAAAAGCGCGCUUGACUGCGAGACAGACACGUCGAGCAGGUACGAAAGUAGGUCUUAGUGAUCCGGUGGUUCUGUAUGGAAGGGCCAUCGCUCAACGGAUAAAAGGUACUCCGGGGAUAACAGGCUGAUACCGCCCAAGAGUUCAUAUCGACGGCGGUGUUUGGCACCUCGAUGUCGGCUCAUCACAUCCUGGGGCUGAAGCCGGUCCCAAGGGUAUGGCUGUUCGCCAUUUAAAGUGGUACGCGAGCUGGGUUUAGAACGUCGUGAGACAGUUCGGUCCCUAUCUGCCGUGGACGUUUGAGAUUUGAGAGGGGCUGCUCCUAGUACGAGAGGACCGGAGUGGACGAACCUCUGGUGUUCCGGUUGUCACGCCAGUGGCAUUGCCGGGUAGCUAUGUUCGGAAAAGAUAACCGCUGAAAGCAUCUAAGCGGGAAACUUGCCUCAAGAUGAGAUCUCACUGGGAACUUGAUUCCCCUGAAGGGCCGUCGAAGACUACGACGUUGAUAGGCUGGGUGUGUAAGCGUUGUGAGGCGUUGAGCUAACCAGUACUAAUUGCCCGUGAGGCUUGACCAU
RNAcentral lists this ribosomal RNA (1879 nucleotides) under Pseudomonas aeruginosa. RNAcentral's name for it is "partial 23S ribosomal RNA". It matches the Rfam family "Bacterial large subunit ribosomal RNA", at positions 1064 to 2925 of the family's 2925-position model. The record is from RNAcentral. Lineage: Bacteria; Pseudomonadati; Pseudomonadota; Gammaproteobacteria; Pseudomonadales; Pseudomonadaceae.